RNAcentral lists this non-coding RNA (800 nucleotides) under Synalpheus microneptunus. The record is from RNAcentral. Lineage: Eukaryota; Metazoa; Arthropoda; Malacostraca; Decapoda; Alpheidae.
CUAAAGUUUGAUUCUUGCUAUUUAUUUUUGCUUGCGCUUUGUAACACAUGUUAAUUAAAGUGAAGAGACUAAGGUAUAUAGUUGUGGUCGUUAGAACUCAGUGUAUAGGAUUAUUUAUGGGAUUGUUCUUGAAAUAGUGAAUGGUGUAGUUCGGGCUAAAUUUGUGCCAGCAGCCGCGGUUAGACUAACUGGGACGAGUAAGAAUUUAUUAGAUUGAUGAUUGAAUGAUAUUGGUUGAGGAGUUUGAGCUGUCAUUAUGUAAGGGUGAAAUUUGGUAAUUAGAGGUAAUUGCAGAUUUAGAUGCUAAAUUUUUGAGGUUAUUAAAUGUGAGGUAUGGAUCAGGAUUAGAUACCCUGGUACACUUUGUAUUAAAGAAAUCUGGCUUGGGUAGUAAACAGAUAUGUGCUUGAAACUUAAAGAAUUUGGCUGUAUUUAAGUCUGGUUAGAGGAACUUGUGCUGUAAAUGAUAAACCCCGAAUAUCUAACUUUACUUUGUUUAUCAGUUUGUAUACCGCCAUUAUUAGAUAAUUUUUAUUGAAGAUGUCUUGAUAGUUUGAUUGCUUGUAUAUUAGGUAAAGGUGCAGCUUAUGGUAGAGGUUGACAUGAGUUACAUUGUUUUUAAAAUAUAUGGAUACUGUUGUCUGAAGGUGAUAGGUUGAAGGUGGAUUUAAUCGUAAAAUUUGUAUAUUGAGCAUUUUUGGUUUGAGCUCUUAAAUAGGUACACAUCGCCCGUCAAUCUCAUUUUAAGAUGAGGUAAGUCGUAACAUAGUGGGUGUAUAGGAAUAUGUACCUGGGAUUAA